AGGAUAAACGCUGGCGGCGUGCCUAACACAUGCAAGUCGAACGCGCUUUCGGGCUUCGGUGCGAGAGCGAGUGGCGGACGGGUGAGUAACACAUGGGUACCUACCUUGGAGUGAGGGAUACCGGCGAGAAAUCGCCGACAAUACCGCAUAGGCUUCUUCACAAGGGAAGCAAAGUGACGCGAGUCACGCUGUGAGAUGGGCCUGUGGCCGAUUAGCUAGUUGGGGGGGUAACGGCUUCCCAAGGCGACGAUCGGUAGCUGGUCUGAGAGGACGAUCAGCCACACUGGGAUUGAGAACGGCCCAGACUCCUACGGGGGCAGCAGUGAGGAAUUUUCCGCAAUGGAGGCAACUCUGACGGAGCAACGCCGCGUGCAGGAGGAAGGUUUCGGAUCGUAAACUGCUUUUCUCGGGGACGAGCAAGGACGGUACCCGAGGAAGAAGCUCCGGCUAACUACGUGCCAGCAGCCGC
This 469-nucleotide ribosomal RNA is filed under the name uncultured bacterium. RNAcentral's name for it is "SSU rRNA". It matches the Rfam family "Bacterial small subunit ribosomal RNA", at positions 26 to 518 of the family's 1533-position model. The record is from RNAcentral.